Molecule: ribosomal RNA, 1425 nt
Filed under: gut metagenome
Description: bacterial LSU rRNA
Rfam family: Bacterial large subunit ribosomal RNA
Source: RNAcentral
AAAUAGAACCUGAAACUGUGUGCUUACAAGUAGUCAGAGCGCGUUAAAGCGUGAUGGCGUGCCUUUUGUAGAAUGAACCGGCGAGUUACGAUAUGCGGCGAGGUUAAAGGAAGAGACCUGGAGCCGGAGCGAAAGCGAGUAUGAAAGUGCGUAAAGUCGUAUGUUGUAGACCCGAAGCCCUGUGAUCUAGUCAUGAGCAGGUUGAAGCGGAAGUAAGAUUCCGUGGAGGACCGAACUAUAGCCUGUUGAAAAAGGCCUGGAUGACUUGUGACUAGCGGAGAAAUUCCAAUCGAACUGGGCGAUAGCUGGUUCUCCCCGAAAUAGCUUUAGGGCUAGCGUUAUUUGGUAUAGCUCUAUGAGGUAGAGCACUGAAUGGUUGAGGGUCCCACCUCGGGAUACCGAGAUCAAUCAAACUCCGAAUGCAUAGAGAAUAGAAUAGCAGUCAGACUUGUGGGCGAGAAAGUUCAUGGUCAAAAGGAAAACAGUCCAGACCGCCUGAUAAGGACCCAAAAUGUAUGCUAAGUGGAAAAGGAAGUUGAGAUGCAUAGACAACCAGGAUGUUGGCUCAGAAGCAGCCAUCAUUAAAAGAGUGCGUAAUAGCUCACUGGUCGAGUGCCUCAGCGCCGAAAAUGUAGCGGGGCUAAGCAUACUUCCGAAGCAGCGGAUUCAUAUGCAAAUAUGAGUGGUAGGGGAGCGUUCUUUACUGGAAGAAGGAAUACCGAGAGGAGUUCUGGACGGUAAAGAAGUGAGAAUGCCGGUGUAAGUAACGAGAAGAUGGGUAAGAAUCCCAUCCGUCGAAAACCCAAGGUUUCCAGGGGAAGGUUCGUCCGCCCUGGGUUAGUCGGGGCCUAAGGCGAGGCCGAAAGGCGCAGCUGAUGGACAUUUGGUUUAAAAUCCAGAACCGGCAGUGAGACUGAUGGAGAGACGAAGGAGGCAAGGAUAGACUGAUUAGUGGAUUUCAGUCAAGCAUAAGAGGCUAGGAAAUAGGAAAAACCGUUCCUGAUGGUUAUUAUGCGAGGUAACGUAUUAGCUUGUCAAACUUCCAAGAAAAACUUCUAAAGAUAUGUCACUGCCGCCCGUACCGUAAACCGACACAGGUGGGUGAGAAGAGAAUUCUAAGACGCGCGAGAAAACCCUUGUUAAGGAACUCGGCAAAAUGACCCCGUAAGUUAGCGAUAAGGGGGGCUCAUAGCGAUAUGAGACACAGAAAAGAAGCCCAAGCAACUGUUUAACAAAAACACAGGUUUGUGCAAAACCGAAAGGUGAAGUAUACGAGCUGACGCCUGCCCGGUGCUGGAAGGUCAAGAGGAGAAGUUAGGAAACGAAGCUUCGAAUUUAAGCCCCAGUAAACGGCGGCCGUAACUAUAACGGUCCUAAGGUAGCGAAAUUCCUUGUCAGGUAAGUUCUGACCCGCACGAAUGGCGU